GUGAGUCAUCGAAUCUUUGAACGCACAUUGCACUUGCCAGUACUCUGGCAAGUAUGCCUGUUCGAGCGUCAUUUCAAACCUCAAGCUUUGCUUGCUGUUGGGGCACUCUGGUUUUGCCAGAGGUCCUGAAUCGUAGUGGCGGAGCGCCGUUGGGCUCUGAGCGUAGUACUGUUCUCGCUGCUGAACCCCGGCGUCACUUGCCGUAAAACAUCCUAUAACUCAAGGUUUGACCUCGGAUCAGGUAGGGAUACCCGCUGAACUUAAGCAUAUCAAUAAGCGGAGGA
This 284-nucleotide unclassified non-coding RNA is filed under the name Hyaloscypha sp. RNAcentral's name for it is "partial contains 5.8S ribosomal RNA, internal transcribed spacer 2, and large subunit ribosomal RNA". The stretch from base 1 to 71 matches the Rfam family "5.8S ribosomal RNA", at positions 84 to 154 of the family's 154-position model. Lineage: Eukaryota; Fungi; Ascomycota; Leotiomycetes; Helotiales; Hyaloscyphaceae. The record is from RNAcentral.